RNAcentral lists this ribosomal RNA (790 nucleotides) under uncultured bacterium. RNAcentral describes it as "SSU rRNA". It matches the Rfam family "Bacterial small subunit ribosomal RNA", at positions 70 to 853 of the family's 1533-position model. The record is from RNAcentral.
AGGAAGCAGCUUGCUGCUUCGCUGACGAGUGGCGGACGGGUGAGUAAUGUCUGGGAAGCUGCCUGAUGGAGGGGGAUAACUACUGGAAACGGUAGCUAAUACCGCAUAAUGUCGCAAGACCAAAGAGGGGGACCCUCGGGCCUCUUGCCAUCGGAUGUGCCCAGAUGGGAUUAGCUUGUUGGUGGGGUAACGGCUCACCAAGGCGACGAUCCCUAGCUGGUCUGAGAGGAUGACCAGCCACACUGGAACUGAGACACGGUCCAGACUCCUACGGGAGGCAGCAGUGGGGAAUAUUGCACAAUGGGCGCAAGCCUGAUGCAGCCAUGCCGCGUGUAUGAAGAAGGCCUUCGGGUUGUAAAGUACUUUCAGCGGGGAGGAAGGGAGUAAAGUUAAUACCUUUGCUCAUUGACGUUACCCGCAGAAGAAGCACCGGCUAACUCCGUGCCAGCAGCCGCGGCAAUACGGAGGGUGCAAGCGUUAAUCGGAAUUACUGGGCGUAAAGCGCACGCAGGCGGUUUGUUAAGUCAGAUGUGAAAUCCCCGGGCUCAACCUGGGAACUGCAUCUGAUACUGGCAAGCUUGAGUCUCGUAGAGGGGGGUAGAAUUCCAGGUGUAGCGGUGAAAUGCGUAGAGAUCUGGAGGAAUACCGGUGGCGAAGGCGGCCCCCUGGACGAAGACUGACGCUCAGGUGCGAAAGCGUGGGGAGCAAACAGGAUUAGAUACCCUGGUAGUCCACGCCGUAAACGAUGUCGACUUGGAGGUUGUGCCCUUGAGGCGUGGCUUCCGGAGCU